CGAACGGCUCCGUAUAUCUGUUGUCACCAAUAGCCCCCCAUAAAGACCAGUCAUAGCGGAUAUGGCUCGGUAAUUCUGUCAGUAAUACGUGUACGUGCAUACCCCGUGCUUAACCGUGGUGGGCCCGGAGAAAUCCGCGAAGGCAGAGCCGCAAGGCUUCGCCCGUGCUACCCGGCCACAAAGCAAGCGGGUCUUCCGAUUCAAUCACGCGCCCGGGCAUCAAGGCCUGGGGCAGGAAGGCACGGAAGGGAACCUCACCACCUCCGGGUGGCAGAGGCUAUGGGCUUCAGACCUAUCAACUUGAGGGCUGGGUGAUGUCCAGCCCUGGUGAUAACGGGUACAGAGGAUCAGGGUUCGAUCCUGGAGAGGUAGCCUGAGAGAUCGCUACUACUUCUAAGGAAGGCAGCAGGCGCGCAACGUUCCCAAUGGGGAGUAGCCCUCCCUGAGGACGUGAAGGGACAUAACAAUGCCCGGCCUUUAAAGGCGGGGUAAUUGUAAUGGGGAAAUUUUAAACCACCCACCGAGUAACAAUUGGAGGACAAGUCUG
This 547-nucleotide ribosomal RNA is filed under the name uncultured Arcyria. RNAcentral describes it as "bacterial SSU rRNA". It matches the Rfam family "Eukaryotic small subunit ribosomal RNA", at positions 90 to 563 of the family's 1831-position model. The record is from RNAcentral. Lineage: Eukaryota; Evosea; Eumycetozoa; Trichiida.